This 501-nucleotide long non-coding RNA is filed under the name Rhinolophus ferrumequinum (greater horseshoe bat). Its description in RNAcentral is "lncRNA (ENSRFEG00010022159.1)". The record is from RNAcentral. Lineage: Eukaryota; Metazoa; Chordata; Mammalia; Chiroptera; Rhinolophidae.
CGGCGCCCGGCGCGACCAUUCGCUGCGGCGCAUCCCGGCAGCCACCGCGGCGACUGGGCGGCGGGUGCCAUGCGCCUGAAGCUCCACAUUCUCAGCUCCCGCCCACCGCGCCCGCCUUCCUCUGCGGUCACGCCUCCGGCGGUGUGCACCUGCCGAGCAGGUCAAGAAAUAAAACACUGCCAGCACCCCAGAGAUCCCCUGUGCCCUCUCCCAAUCAUUUCACCCUUCCUUCUUGCCAAAGAUGGCAGCACAGAUGGAAAAAUCCCAGAAAACCUCGGAGCCAGCUGGCUUCAGCAGCAGCAAACAGCUAUCAACAGCCUGCCCCCAACUCACUCUUCCUUUUUUCAAAAUGAACACAACCUAAAAGGAUCUAACUGCUCUUCAUCUUCACAAGUAACUUUAUAUGCAUGAUGUCAGUUAACCUCACAACAACCGUCAUGUCACAGAUGAGGAAACUGAUGUCAGUGAGAUUAAUCAACUUCCCCAGGAUCACACAGCCAA